UACAGAGGGCUCAAGCGUUGUUCGGAAUCACUGGGCGUAAAGCGCACGUAGGCGGAUUGCUAAGUCAGGGGUGAAAUCCUGGAGCUCAACUCCAGAACUGCCUUUGAUACUGGCGAUCUCGAGUCCGGGAGAGGUGAGUGGAACUGCGAGUGUAGAGGUGAAAUUCGUAGAUAUUCGCAAGAACACCAGUGGCGAAGGCGGCUCACUGGCCCGGUACUGACGCUGAGGUGCGAAAGCGUGGGGAGCAAACAGG
RNAcentral lists this ribosomal RNA (253 nucleotides) under uncultured bacterium. RNAcentral describes it as "partial 16S ribosomal RNA". It matches the Rfam family "Bacterial small subunit ribosomal RNA", at positions 524 to 776 of the family's 1533-position model. The record is from RNAcentral.